Molecule: ribosomal RNA, 458 nt
Filed under: uncultured bacterium
Lineage: Bacteria
Description: bacterial SSU rRNA
Rfam family: Bacterial small subunit ribosomal RNA
Source: RNAcentral
UACGGGAGGCAGCAGUGGGGAAUAUUGCACAAUGGGCGAAAGCCUGAUGCAGCUAUGCCGCGUGUAUGAAGAAGGCCUUAGGGUUGUAAAGUACUUUCAUCGGGGAGGAAAAACAAAACUAAUAAUUUUAUUUCUUGACGUUACCCGAAAAAGAAGCACCGGCUAACUCCGUGCCAGCAGCCGCGGUAAUACGGAGGGUGCUAGCGUUAAUCAGAAUUACUGGGCGUAAAGAGCACGUAGGUGGUUUUUUUAAGUCAGAUGUGAAAUCCCUGGGCUUAACCUAGGAACUGCAUUUUGAAACUGAAAUACUAGAGUAUCGUAGAGGGAGGUAGAAUUCUAGGUGUAGCGGUGAAAUGCGUAGAUAUCUGGAGGAAUACCUGUGGCGAAAGCGGCCUCCUAAACGAAUACUGACACUGAGGGUGCGGAAAGCGUGGGGAGGCAAACAGGGAUUAGAUACC